UCAAGAGUGAACCACCUGAUCCCUUCCCGAACUCAGAAGUGAAACCUCUUAGCGCUGAUGGUAGUGUGGGGUCUCCCAUGUGAGAGUAAGUCAUCGCCAGCU
This 102-nucleotide ribosomal RNA is filed under the name Acinetobacter variabilis. Lineage: Bacteria; Pseudomonadati; Pseudomonadota; Gammaproteobacteria; Moraxellales; Moraxellaceae. The record is from RNAcentral.